This 905-nucleotide long non-coding RNA is filed under the name Parus major (Great Tit). RNAcentral's name for it is "lncRNA (ENSPMJG00000008763.1)". Lineage: Eukaryota; Metazoa; Chordata; Aves; Passeriformes; Paridae. The record is from RNAcentral.
AAUGUUUAGGUUAUACCCUACCAUUACAUAGGAGAUUCAGGACUUUUCAGGCUAAAGAGGGAAUCUUGAAGCUUCAGUAAAUCAUUAAAGAAUACAUUUAAUCGUAGGGAAUGGGUUAUACAUUCUGUUCUGGCACGGUUACUUUGAGUUUGUUUGGGUUCUUCAGUCUUCUUGCAUUGUUGUUCAAGGUGCCAAAUUAGCAUCAAUAAUAAGAAAACUCUUGCUUCAGUGUCUCUGUCUGCCCCCCACAGGUGAAUGGGAUACCCAUUACCUUAGAAGAAGAGAUGUACCUUUGUUUCCCUACUGAGUUUUGAUCAGAUAUGCACUUGGCCUGAAUGGUUUGAUUGCAGCAGAUGCACAUCCACAUCGCCAGAAGAUCAGCCAGAAAACAUUUAGCUCAUUUCUCCAUUAGUUCUGCCUUCCAGAAACUGCUAGCAAGAGGAUGUUUUCACACAGGAGCAUGAAGGCAGGACAAAACAGUGAAGCUCAAAUGACAGCUCAUGGACUGGUGUCAAAGAAAACAGACCAUGAACAGAUUUACUGACUUAACUGGACUAGCCACAAGGUUGGAAUUAUGUAUGUGCUUCAGUAUCAUGCCAGCCCACAGUUUCAACAGAAACAACAGACAGCCUGUUCCACCUAGCACCAAGUGCAACCAUGCCUUCUGAAAGGGUUUGAUGUCAAACAACGUAUUCAUGAUUACUGUUCAUCUUUGUCCAAGAUGUGGCAGUCAGCUCACAUCCAACACUUAAGAGCAUCAUGACAAAUAGCUGUUUCUUGAAGUGUUUACUCAACACGGUUGAAAGGCUUUUUUCAGCCCUGGCUCAAUGGGAUUUCAGCCUUGAGCCAGAAACACUGUGAUCUUUGGGGGCUUACAAAGCAUGAGUGGCCUUACAAAAUCUAGG